RNAcentral lists this long non-coding RNA (1128 nucleotides) under Salvator merianae (Argentine black and white tegu). RNAcentral's name for it is "lncRNA (ENSSMRG00000005234.1)". The record is from RNAcentral. Lineage: Eukaryota; Metazoa; Chordata; Lepidosauria; Squamata; Teiidae.
AUGAAACUUUUUUUUUCUUUGUUAGUCUCUAAGGUGCUACUAGAUCCCCCUUGCUUUCUGCUGUUUGUGAGGCUUGGUACAGCAAUCAAUAAAGAUAGGGAAAGGCAUCUUUGCUUUCUUUGCAGGCGGCUGUCCCCCGCCUGCAUAGCUAUGCAGCCCUGUUUCCAGGGUCUUUUGAGAGCAUUGAAUUCUGACAUUGUUGACUGGGAAAUGCCUAUAUCGCGAUCUCUAUGUAAGGAAACCAUAGCAUAACAUCAGAUCAUCUUUAAUUCUGUUCCCACACACCCACACCCAAUCGCUCGCUGGUAGAUUUUAUUUUCCUGGGGGGAAAGUUCUCCUCAGGCCCCGCCCGCGAAGUUCAUCCUUUCUUUGCAUCUCUAGUGGACGAUGUCCCUCCUGGCUCGGGAUAAGAUGCUCCUUACCACGUUUGUCCUGUGGUGCUGCCCCGUGGAGCACGCCCGUCUCAGGCGCGCCCGUGUGGGUGCCCUCUGGUUCUGGGCACCCGGAGGCUCCCCUGACUCGCCCGUCAAGGACAAGUGUGGACUGGCUACAUCAGGAGCAAGGAAGGCGGCGAGCUAACGAGCCCGCGAGGAGGGCCGUAUGGAGGUGACGUGAUCUCUCUGAGUCACCUCGGUGCCGCCUGCUUUAGGUCCGGGAGAUUUAAAAGUGGGAGCCCCCGUGCCUGCCUGUGACAGAAGUGCCAAAGCGCGCACAAAGAGCAACAAAGGGGGAGAGAAAGGGAAAGGCCCGCUGCCCAGCCAUGCAAAGAGCAAGCGUUUGCCGACGACGCUCUCUUUCUCCACUUCCUCCUGCAGCUUCCAGCCAGGGUCCCAGCAGCUACAGCAGCCUCAACAGUUGCCGCUCCUCCGUUCCUCAGAAGAAAAAGCUGCCCGCCUUGCGCUCGUCGGGGCUGCCCUGGGCUUUGCUCCUUCUCGUCCUCGCCUUUUGGGGGCGCUCGUGCAAAGGUGCACCAGUGGAACCCCAUGCUCUACAAGCAGAAGAAGAUACACAGUUAUGGAAUGAGAUAGAUGAUGUGUGUUCUAUUUACCUGGCCAAAGAUACUCCAACCCAGUCGUCUAAUGCAUUAGAAGAUAUUUGCUUUAUGAUUCUGGAACUUCUACAAAAAGC